ACCUAGCAAUAGGUUGGUGGCGACCGGCGCACGGGUGAGUAACACGUAUCCAACCUACCGGUUAUUCCGGGAUAGCCUUUCGAAAGAAAGAUUAAUACCGGAUAGUAUAACGAGAAGGCAUCUUCUUGUUAUUAAAGAAUUUCGAUAACCGAUGGGGAUGCGUUCCAUUAGUUUGUUGGCGGGGUAACGGCCCACCAAGACAUCGAUGGAUAGGGGUUCUGAGAGGAAGGUCCCCCACAUUGGAACUGAGACACGGUCCAA
Molecule: ribosomal RNA, 261 nt
Filed under: uncultured bacterium
Lineage: Bacteria
Description: partial 16S ribosomal RNA
Rfam family: Bacterial small subunit ribosomal RNA
Source: RNAcentral